RNAcentral lists this ribosomal RNA (462 nucleotides) under uncultured bacterium. Its description in RNAcentral is "partial 16S ribosomal RNA". It matches the Rfam family "Bacterial small subunit ribosomal RNA", at positions 28 to 507 of the family's 1533-position model. The record is from RNAcentral.
GACGAGCGCUGGCGGCGUGCUUAACACAUGCAAGUCGAACGGAAAGGCCCUUCGGGGUACUCGAGUGGCGAACGGGUGAGUAACACGUGGGUGAUCUGCCCUGCACUUUGGGAUAAGCCUGGGAAACUGGGUCUAAUACCGAAUAGGACCACGCGCUUCAUGGGGUGUGGUGGAAAGCUUUUGCGGGGUGGGAUGGGCCCGCGGCCUAUCAGCUUGUUGGUGGGGUAAUGGCCUACCAAGGCGACGACGGGUAGCCGGCCUGAGAGGGUGACCGGCCACACUGGGACUGAGAUACGGCCCAGACUCCUACGGGAGGCAGCAGUGGGGAAUAUUGCACAAUGGGCGCAAGCCUGAUGCAGCGACGCCGCGUGAGGGAUGACGGCCUUCGGGUUGUAAACCUCUUUCACCAGGGACGAAGCGUAAGUGACGGUACCUGGAGAAGAAGCACCGGCCAACUACGUG